AUUGAACGCUGGCGGCAGGCCUAACACAUGCAAGUCGAGCGGUAGCACAGAGAGCUUGCUCUCGGGUGACGAGCGGCGGACGGGUGAGUAAUGUCUGGGAAACUGCCUGAUGGAGGGGGAUAACUACUGGAAACGGUAGCUAAUACCGCAUAACGUCGCAAGACCAAAGUGGGGGACCUUCGGGCCUCAUGCCAUCGGAUGUGCCCAGAUGGGAUUAGCUAGUAGGUGGGGUAACGGCUCACCUAGGCGACGAUCCCUAGCUGGUCUGAGAGGAUGACCAGCCACACUGGAACUGAGACACGGUCCAGACUCCUACGGGAGGCAGCAGUGGGGAAUAUUGCACAAUGGGCGCAAGCCUGAUGCAGCCAUGCCGCGUGUGUGAAGAAGGCCUUCGGGUUGUAAAGCACUUUCAGCGGGGAGGAAGGCGAUAAGGUUAAUAACCUUGUCGAUUGACGUUACCCGCAGAAGAAGCACCGGCUAACUCCGUGCCAGCAGCCGCGGUAAUACGGAGGGUGCAAGCGUUAAUCGGAAUUACUGGGCGUAAAGCGCACGCAGGCGGUCUGUCAAGUCGGAUGUGAAAUCCCCGGGCUCAACCUGGGAACUGCAUUCGAAACUGGCAGGCUAGAGUCUUGUAGAGGGGGGUAGAAUUCCAGGUGUAGCGGUGAAAUGCGUAGAGAUCUGGAGGAAUACCGGUGGCGAAGGCGGCCCCCUGGACAAAGACUGACGCUCAGGUGCGAAAGCGUGGGGAGCAAACAGGAUUAGAUACCCUGGUAGUCCACGCCGUAAACGAUGUCGAUUUGGAGGUUGUGCCCUUGAGGCGUGGCUUCCGGAGCUAACGCGUUAAAUCGACCGCCUGGGGAGUACGGCCGCAAGGUUAAAACUCAAAUGAAUUGACGGGGGCCCGCACAAGCGGUGGAGCAUGUGGUUUAAUUCGAUGCAACGCGAAGAACCUUACCUGGUCUUGACAUCCACAGAACUUUCCAGAGAUGGUUUGGUGCCUUCGGGAACUGUGAGACAGGUGCUGCAUGGCUGUCGUCAGCUCGUGUUGUGAAAUGUUGGGUUAAGUCCCGCAACGAGCGCAACCCUUAUCCUUUGUUGCCAGCGGUUCGGCCGGGAACUCAAAGGAGACUGCCAGUGAUAAACUGGAGGAAGGUGGGGAUGACGUCAAGUCAUCAUGGCCCUUACGACCAGGGCUACACACGUGCUACAAUGGCAUAUACAAAGAGAAGCGACCUCGCGAGAGCAAGCGGACCUCAUAAAGUAUGUCGUAGUCCGGAUUGGAGUCUGCAACUCGACUCCAUGAAGUCGGAAUCGCUAGUAAUCGUAGAUCAGAAUGCUACGGUGAAUACGUUCCCGGGCCUUGUACACACCGCCCGUCACACCAUGGGAGUGGGUUGCAAAAGAAGUAGGUAGCUUAACCUUCGGGAGGGCGCUUACCACUUUGUGAUUCAUGACUGGGGUG
This 1462-nucleotide ribosomal RNA is filed under the name Klebsiella sp. RNAcentral's name for it is "bacterial SSU rRNA". It matches the Rfam family "Bacterial small subunit ribosomal RNA". The record is from RNAcentral. Lineage: Bacteria; Pseudomonadati; Pseudomonadota; Gammaproteobacteria; Enterobacterales; Enterobacteriaceae.